Molecule: long non-coding RNA, 940 nt
Filed under: Pan troglodytes (chimpanzee)
Lineage: Eukaryota; Metazoa; Chordata; Mammalia; Primates; Hominidae
Description: lincRNA
Source: RNAcentral
GUGAAGACCCAGCCGUGCCUGGAGUAAAUUAAGCCAGCAGCAAAUAAUCCCAAAGCAGGUAAACAUCUAAAAGAAAGGAAUGAAAACAGGUUUUAUUUAUAAAUGCCUCACUGUUGGAACCUGCAUGAAUGAAAGCUGAAUCUCAAAGAUCAGACACGUUGGACUUGGAAUAAUGUCCAUGUUAUGAUUCCAAUCUGUGCCUAAAUCUGAACCACUCAGUUCUUCAUGCUUGUUGGAAUCCUCCUAAAAUUGGAAUUUCCUGGGAGAUAUCCAGUACUUUUUGGGCAAAACAAACAGCCUUUCUUGUAAUAUGCUAUGUCUAGUGCUAACUGAAUUCAAGAAGUUUAUGAGUGUGGGGAAAGUAACUUGAUUUCUUUGCAAACUUACAAAUUUGCUUCAGUUUAAAUUUUGACCAAAAAUUCAUCUCAGGAAUAUGUUUUGGAAUAAUUCUUUGCUAUUAGUUAUAAAUGUGGCAAAUAUUGUUUAAACAAUAAAAUAUUAUUUUAUACAACAAAUUAUGGCAACAAAUUCCUUGUAGUGAUAGAUUUUUUAAAAUCUUUAAAUCAUAGAUAAGGAUUUAUUAUGCUCCAUGUCAAUUAUAUGCAUGUUUGUGUGUAUAUGUGUGUGUAUAUAUAUUUCACUUAAUCUCUGAGAACAGUCUGAAUUUUUAUGUUUCUCUAUUGUAUAUAAUUGAAAAACAUAAGACAAACAAAGAAAUCACUUAUUAGUACGUUGAUAGAUAAACGUGCUUGAUGCCAAAUAUAGACACACAAAAUACACUUAAUUCUUCUGUAAGAACUCUUAAACAUCUAUGAGAAACAUCGUAUCAAAUUGAUUUCCCCCUUUCUCCUUAGUAAAAAAAUCCUGACGUUUUUAGGUUGACACAAUGCCACUCAGCUAAACAAUGACAUUUCCCAGACUCCUUUGUGUUUAAGUGUGG